This 3118-nucleotide ribosomal RNA is filed under the name bacterium. RNAcentral describes it as "23S ribosomal RNA". It matches the Rfam family "Bacterial large subunit ribosomal RNA". The record is from RNAcentral.
UAAAAAGGUACAUAAGGGCACUGAUAGUGGAUGCCUUGACAUUUACAACCGAUGAAGGCCGUAGAACUCUGCGAUAAGCUUCGGGGAACUGAGAACAAGUUUUGAUCCGGAGAUAGCCGAAUGGGGAAACCUAAUACGAGUCAUGUCGUAUUGCCGUUACCUGAACACAUAGGGUAAUGAGACGGGAACCAGCCGAACUGAAUCAUCUUAGUAGGUUGAGGAAAAGAAAAUAACCAAUGAUUCCGAAAGUAGUGGCGAGCGAAAUUGGAACAGUCCAAACCUUAAGAUAACCUUACGGGUUUACGCCCAGAGUUAUUAAGGGUGUUGCGUGUUUACACAAUUUUUAUGCUGAGCAGUUAAUUCAUUUGACCGUUCGGCAUAAAAACCAACAGCGUAAACUGAGUGGAUAAGUAUCGUAGUUGUUAGCGGAAGCGUUUGAAUGGCGCGCCAAAGAUGGUGAAAGCCCAGUAUGCGAAAACAACUAUUGAACUUAUAUGUGUUUUCACAAGUAGGACGGGGCACGAGAAACCCUGUUUGAAUCCGGCAGGACCACCUGCCAAGACUAAAUAUUGUAAAUGAUCGAUAGCGAACUAGUACAGUGAUGGAAAGGUGAAAAGAACCCCGGGAGGGGAGUGAAAUAGAUCCUGAAACUCAGUGCCUACAAGGUGUCGGAGCAGACUUCGGUCUGUGACGGCGUGCUUUUUGUAGAACGAUCCAGCGAGUUAAUUUUGUCGGCGAGGCUAAGUCAGAUGAUGGAGCCACAGUGAAAGCGAGGGUGAAUAGCCCGUCUAGUCGGCAGGAUUAGACCCGAAACCGGGUGACCUAACCAUGAGCAGGUUGAAGCUGCCGUAAGAGGUAGUGGAGGACCGAACCGGGGUACGCAGUAAAGUGCUCGGAUGACUUGUGGUUAGCGGUGAAAUGCCAAUCGAACUCGGAGAUAGCUGGUUCUCCUCGAAAUAGCUUUAGGGCUAGCGUCAUGUAGUAGCUUUUGGGGGUAGAGCUCUGAAAAGGCUUGGGGCGAGCAAUCGUACCCACCCUUAUCAAACUACGAAUACCGAAAGUGUAAUCAUGGCAGUCAGAACGGCGGGGCUAAGCUCGUCGCUCAAAAGGAAAACAGUCCAGACCAUCGUCUAAGGUCCCUAAUUAUAACUAAGUGGGAAACAAGGUGAGAUUUCUUAAACAGCUAGGAUGUUGGCUUAGAAGCAGCCAUUCAUUUAAAGAGUGCGUAACAGCUCACUAGUCAAGAGAUUUUGCGUGGAAAAUGUAACGGGGCUCAAGUUAUAAACCGAAGACAUGGAUUGUUAUUAUGAUUCGUCAUAGUAGCAGUGGUAGAGGAGCGUUGAUAUCGCGGUGAAGUCAGAUCGGAAGGUCUGGUGGAGCGUUAUCAAGUGAGAAUGCUGGAAUCAGUAACCUUAAGACAUGUGAGAAUCAUGUCGGUCGUAAGAGCAAGGUUUCCAGGGCCACAGUAAUUGUCCCUGGGUUAGUCGGUCCUAAGCUGAGGCGUAUUAGCGUAGGCGAUGGACAACAGGUUAAUAUUCCUGUACUUGUAGUAUUUGUCAACAGUUCACGGAGAACAUCUAGGAGCGGAUUCAUGGUAUAUAUCCGUCCAAGUCUCAAAGGAAUUUGAGAUGAGUGAAAGUUAUCCUUCGGGAUGACGAUUCCUGGGCAGGCUCUGGCUAGAAAAGCUGGCUGACUCAUGGUGCUGCAAACCGUACCGCAAACCAACACCGGUGCUCGAGUCGAGUAGACUAAGACCUACGAGAGAACCUUCGCUAAGGAACUCGGCAAAAAAGCGUCCGUAACUUCGGAAUAAGGACUGCCCGCCUAUUAAGGCAACAAUUGCUAAGUUAUCUCAGCGAGAAUUCGUUAAGAUUACUUUGUGUAUCUUAUGUAAAAUCGAAUUUCUUUGUUGAGACAGAACACUAAUCUGUUCUUUAACUUAGCGCCCAAUUAUUGUUUUAAUAGGCGGGCCGCAGCUAAAGAGCCCACGGAACUGUUUACCAAAAACACAGGUCUCUGCUAACGCGAAAGCGGAUGUAUAGGGGCUGACUCCUGCCCAGUGUCGGAAGGUUAAGGGGAGAACUUCACGGUUCGAACUGAAGCCCCGAUGAACGGCGGCGAUAACUAUGAUCGUCCUAAGGUAGCGAAAUUCCUUGUCUGGUAAGUUCAGACCCGCACGAAUGGAGUAAUCAUGUGGGCACUGUCUCGGCGAAGGCCUCGGUGAACGUGCAUUGGCGGUAAAGAUGCCGUCUGAUCAUGCCAGGACGAGAAGACCCCAUGGAGCUUUACUACAACUUUGCAUUGAUUAUUGGGAUAUUUUGUGUAGAAUAGGUGGCAGACUUUGAAACAGAUACGCUAGUAUUUGCGGAGUCGCAAUGUGAAAUACCACCCUGAGUAUUUUAGUAAUCUCUACAGUGACCAUAAUCUGGUUACUGGACCGUGCAUGGCGGGUAGUUUAACUGGGGCGGUUGCCUCCUAAAGAGUACCGGAGGCGUUCAAAGGUUGGCUAGUCACGGAUGGAAAUCGUGACGAUAGUGUAUGCGCAAAAGCCAGCUUGACUGCGAGGGCUACAACCCAAGCAGACACGAAAGUGGGAGCAAAUGACCCGCUGUAUAGAUCUUCGGAUCAAUUUACGUGGGAAAGACAGCGCACACGGAUAAAAGUUACCCUGGGGAUAACAGGCUGAUCGCGCCCAAUAGUUCACAUAGACGGCGCGGUUUGGCACCUCGAUGUCGGCUCAUCACAUCCUGGAGGGGGAGCACCUUCCAAGGGUCCGGCUGUUCGCCGGUUAAAGUGGUACGCGAGCUGGGUUCAGAACGUCGUGAGACAGUUCGGUUUAUAUCCGGCAUGAUCGUUAGGAAUUUUGAGGAGAUUUGCCCUUAGUACGAGAGGACCGGGGUGAACGAACCGCUAGUGUAUCGGUUGUGGCCACCUGCUGCAUUGCCGAGUAGCUAUGUUCGGUAUAGAUAAGCGCUGAAAGCAUAUUAAGCGCGAAACUGACUCCAAGAUUAGAAUUCCCUAUGACCUCCCAGAGAGAUGAUCUGGUUGAUAGGCGCAAGGUGGAAGUAUGGUAACAUAUGGAGCCGAAGCGUACUAAUAGAGGCAUUGCCUUUUUAUG